GCAUGGCUGUCGUCAGCUNGUGUUGUGAAAUGUUGGGUUAAGUCCCGCAACGAGCGCAACCCUUAUCCUUUGUUGCCAGCACGUAAUGGUGGGAACUCAAAGGAGACUGCCGGUGAUAAACCGGAGGAAGGUGGGGAUGACGUCAAGUCAUCAUGGCCCUUACGAGUAGGGCUACACACGUGCUACAAUGGCAUAUACAAAGAGAAGCGAACUCGCGAGAGCAAGCGGACCUCAUAAAGUAUGUCGUAGUCCGGAUUGGAGUCUGCAACUCGACUCCAUGAAGUCGGAAUCGCUAGUAAUCGUAGAUCAGAAUGCUACGGUGAAUACGUUCCCGGGCCUUGUACACACCGCCCGUCACACCAUGGGAGUGGGUUGCAAAAGAAGUAGGUAGCUUAACCUUCGGGAGGGCGCUUACCACUUUUGAUUCAUGA
This 431-nucleotide ribosomal RNA is filed under the name endophyte bacterium EMA83. Its description in RNAcentral is "bacterial SSU rRNA". It matches the Rfam family "Bacterial small subunit ribosomal RNA", at positions 1043 to 1474 of the family's 1533-position model. The record is from RNAcentral.